Molecule: ribosomal RNA, 454 nt
Filed under: uncultured bacterium
Lineage: Bacteria
Description: bacterial SSU rRNA
Rfam family: Bacterial small subunit ribosomal RNA
Source: RNAcentral
AUUGAACGCUGGCGGCAUGCUUUACACAUGCAAGUCGAACGGCAGCGCGGGGGCAACCCUGGCGGCGAGUGGCGAACGGGUGAGUAAUGCAUCGGAACGUAUCCUGUAAUGGGGGAUAACGUAGCGAAAGUUACGCUAAUACCGCAUACGCUCGAGAGAGGAAAGUGGGGGAUCGCAAGACCUCACGUUAUAGGAGCGGCCGAUGUCCGAUUAGCUAGUUGGUGGGGUAAAGGCCUACCAAGGCGACGAUCGGUAGCUGGUCUGAGAGGAUGAUCAGCCACACUGGGACUGAGACACGGCCCAGACUCCUACGGGAGGCAGCAGUGGGGAAUUUUGGACAAUGGGCGAAAGCCUGAUCCAGCCAUGCCGCGUGCGGGAAGAAGGCCUUCGGGUGUAACCGCUUUAGUCCGGAAAAGGGUAGGCGAGGAUAAUACCCUCGUCGCUUUGAUGGUAC